RNAcentral lists this ribosomal RNA (301 nucleotides) under uncultured bacterium. Its description in RNAcentral is "partial 16S ribosomal RNA". It matches the Rfam family "Bacterial small subunit ribosomal RNA", at positions 509 to 809 of the family's 1533-position model. The record is from RNAcentral.
CAGUAGCCACGGUAAAACGAAGGGUGCAAGCGUUAAUCGGAAUUACUGGGCGUAAAGCGUGCGUAGGCGGUGAGUUAAGUCUGCUGUGAAAUCCCCGGGCUCAACCUGGGAAUGGCAGUGGAUACUGGCUCGCUAGAGUGUGUCAGAGGAUGGUGGAAUUCCCGGUGUAGCGGUGAAAUGCGUAGAGAUCGGGAGGAACAUCAGUGGCGAAGGCGGCCAUCUGGGACAACACUGACGCUGAGGCACGAAAGCGUGGGGAGCAAACAGGAUUAGAUACCCCAGUAGUCCCUGUCUCUUAUAA